Molecule: ribosomal RNA, 756 nt
Filed under: Streptomyces sp.
Lineage: Bacteria; Bacillati; Actinomycetota; Actinomycetes; Kitasatosporales; Streptomycetaceae
Description: bacterial SSU rRNA
Rfam family: Bacterial small subunit ribosomal RNA
Source: RNAcentral
GGGUGGAUUAGUGGCGAACGGGUGAGUAACACGUGGGCAAUCUGCCCUUCACUCUGGGACAAGCCCUGGAAACGGGGUCUAAUACCGGAUAACACUCUGUCCUGCAUGGGACGGGGUUGAAAGCUCCGGCGGUGAAGGAUGAGCCCGCGGCCUAUCAGCUUGUUGGUGGGGUAAUGGCCUACCAAGGCGACGACGGGUAGCCGGCCUGAGAGGGCGACCGGCCACACUGGGACUGAGACACGGCCCAGACUCCUACGGGAGGCAGCAGUGGGGAAUAUUGCACAAUGGGCGAAAGCCUGAUGCAGCGACGCCGCGUGAGGGAUGACGGCCUUCGGGUUGUAAACCUCUUUCAGCAGGGAAGAAGCGCAAGUGACGGUACCUGCAGAAGAAGCGCCGGCUAACUACGUGCCAGCAGCCGCGGUAAUACGUAGGGCGCAAGCGUUGUCCGGAAUUAUUGGGCGUAAAGAGCUCGUAGGCGGCUUGUCACGUCGGAUGUGAAAGCCCGGGGCUUAACCCCGGGUCUGCAUUCGAUACGGGCUAGCUAGAGUGUGGUAGGGGAGAUCGGAAUUCCUGGUGUAGCGGUGAAAUGCGCAGAUAUCAGGAGGAACACCGGUGGCGAAGGCGGAUCUCUGGGCCAUUACUGACGCUGAGGAGCGAAAGCGUGGGGAGCGAACAGGAUUAGAUACCCUGGUAGUCCACGCCGUAAACGUUGGGAACUAGGUGUUGGCGACAUUCCACGUCGUCGGUGCCGCAGCU